AACAAGCGGCUCUUCUUGAUGCCCCGCUCGGUAACAAUUGCCGAGAGAGCACCCGAUUCGAGGAGUGACUUGUCUGCGCUCUCCGGCUUCACGACGCUAUUUCUCCGGCCGGGCUCUUCCAAUUCUACGGUAUUCCCUUGUG
Molecule: non-coding RNA, 142 nt
Organism: Caenorhabditis elegans
Lineage: Eukaryota; Metazoa; Nematoda; Chromadorea; Rhabditida; Rhabditidae
Source: Ensembl